RNAcentral lists this ribosomal RNA (496 nucleotides) under uncultured bacterium. RNAcentral describes it as "partial 16S ribosomal RNA". It matches the Rfam family "Bacterial small subunit ribosomal RNA", at positions 28 to 506 of the family's 1533-position model. The record is from RNAcentral.
GAUGAACGCUGGCGGCGUGCCUAAUACAUGCAAGCCGAGCGAACGGACGAGAAGCUUGCUUUUCUGAUGUUAGCGGCGGGCGGGUGAGUAACACGUGGAUAACCUACCUAUAAGACUGGGAUAACUUCGGGAAACCGGAGCUAAUACCGGAUAAUAUUUUGAACCGCAUGGUUCAAAAGUGAAAGACGGUCUUGCUGUCACUUAUAGAUGGAUCCGCGCUGCAUUAGCUAGUUGGUAAGGUAACGGCUUACCAAGGCAACGAUGCAUAGCCGACCUGAGAGGGUGAUCGGCCACCCUGGACCUGAGACCCGGUCCAGACUCCUACGGGAGGCAGCAGUAGGGAAUCUUCCGCAAUGGGCGAAAGCCUGACGGAGCAACGCCGCGUGAGUGAUGAAGGUCUUCGGAUCGUAAAACUCUGUUAUUAGGGAAGAACAUAUGUGUAAGUAACUGUGCACAUCUUGACGGUACCUAAUCAGAAAGCCACGGCUAACUACGU